GGUGACGAGCGGCGGACGGGUGAGUAAUGUCUGGGAAACUGCCUGAUGGAGGGGGAUAACUACUGGAAACGGUAGCUAAUACCGCAUAAUGUCGCAAGACCAAAGUGGGGGACCUUCGGGCCUCAUGCCAUCAGAUGUGCCCAGAUGGGAUUAGCUAGUAGGUGGGGUAACGGCUCACCUAGGCGACGAUCCCUAGCUGGUCUGAGAGGAUGACCAGCCACACUGGAACUGAGACACGGUCCAGACUCCUACGGGAGGCAGCAGUGGGGAAUAUUGCACAAUGGGCGCAAGCCUGAUGCAGCCAUGCCGCGUGUGUGAAGAAGGCCUUCGGGUUGUAAAGCACUUUCAGCGGGGAGGAAGGCGUUAAGGUUAAUAACCUUGGCGAUUGACGUUACCCGCAGAAGAAGCACCGGCUAACUCCGUGCCAGCAGCCGCGGUAAUACGGAGGGUGCAAGCGUUAAUCGGAAUUACUGGGCGUAAAGCGCACGCAGGCGGUCUGUCAAGUCGGAUGUGAAAUCCCCGGGCUCAACCUGGGAACUGCAUUCGAAACUGGCAGGCUAGAGUCUUGUAGAGGGGGGUAGAAUUCCAGGUGUAGCGGUGAAAUGCGUAGAGAUCUGGAGGAAUACCGGUGGCGAAGGCGGCCCCCUGGACAAAGACUGACGCUCAGGUGCGAAAGCGUGGGGAGCAAACAGGAUUAGAUACCCUGGUAGUCCACGCCGUAAACGAUGUCGAUUUGGAGGUUGUGCCCUUGAGGCGUGGCUUCCGGAGCUAACGCGUUAAAUCGACCGCCUGGGGAGUACGGCCGCAAGGUUAAAACUCAAAUGAAUUGACGGGGGCCCGCACAAGCGGUGGAGCAUGUGGUUUAAUUCGAUGCAACGCGAAGAACCUUACCUGGUCUUGACAUCCACAGAACUUUCCAGAGAUGGAUUGGUGCCUUCGGGAACUGUGAGACAGGUGCUGCAUGGCUGUCGUCAGCUCGUGUUGUGAAAUGUUGGGUUAAGUCCCGCAACGAGCGCAACCCUUAUCCUUUGUUGCCAGCGGUUCGGCCGGGA
RNAcentral lists this ribosomal RNA (1052 nucleotides) under Klebsiella pneumoniae. Its description in RNAcentral is "bacterial SSU rRNA". It matches the Rfam family "Bacterial small subunit ribosomal RNA", at positions 87 to 1136 of the family's 1533-position model. Lineage: Bacteria; Pseudomonadati; Pseudomonadota; Gammaproteobacteria; Enterobacterales; Enterobacteriaceae. The record is from RNAcentral.